RNAcentral lists this ribosomal RNA (253 nucleotides) under uncultured bacterium. RNAcentral's name for it is "partial 16S ribosomal RNA". It matches the Rfam family "Bacterial small subunit ribosomal RNA", at positions 524 to 776 of the family's 1533-position model. The record is from RNAcentral.
UACGAGUGCCCCAAGCGUUAUCCGGAAUUAUUGGGCGUAAAGGGUCAGUAGGCGGUCUAGUUAGUCUUCUGUCAAAUUCUUCGGCUUAACCGGGGGUCCGCAGGGGAAACGGCUAGACUUGAGGAUGCGAGAGGUGAAUGGAACUCAUAGUGUAGGGGUGAAAUCCGUUGAUAUUAUGGGGAACACCAAAAGCGAAGGCAAUUCACUGGCGCACUCCUGACGCUGAAUGACGAAAGCGUGGGUAGCGAAUGGG